Molecule: long non-coding RNA, 1082 nt
Filed under: Ornithorhynchus anatinus (platypus)
Lineage: Eukaryota; Metazoa; Chordata; Mammalia; Monotremata; Ornithorhynchidae
Description: lncRNA (ENSOANG00000045592.1)
Source: RNAcentral
CCAAUAGCACUUGGGCACAUAACUUACCCUAAUACUGAAUCUCUACCUCAUGUACAUCUCCCCUUUUCCUUCUUUCCCCUAUCGGGAAAUUAUUUUUGUAUCGGUCUCCCCCACUAGUUCCUUGAGGGUGGAAAUCAUGUCUACUAGUUCUAUUUACAUUUUCCCAAGUGUUUAGUACAGAACUCUGCCCAGACUAGAUGCUCAGUGAAUAUUAUUGGGUCACUACUAUUCAGGGUUAGACUGCCAAGUAACCUACAUCUUGCAGAACUCCAUCCACGUGGGAGGAGAAGGAUCCUUCCCCCAUUUUGCCUUUUCAAUCCAUCAUUGUUUAUUAAGCUCAUACUGUGUGCAAAGCACUGUACUAAGCCCUUGGAAAAAUACAGCAUAACGGAGUUGGUAGACACCUCCCCGGCCCACAGUGAGCUCAUAGUCGAGAAAGGGAGACAGGCAUUAAUAUAAACAAAUUACAGAUAUUUACGUAAGAGUUGUGUAUCUAUUCUGACCCUUCAUGGGUGUACCUUUUCCCACAGCCAUCUUCUUUUGCUAUGUUGGUGGCCCAGCAGCGAUUCCCAACUUGUUUCUUCGGAACUGAAAUUAGGAGUUCCUGCUGGACAUUAUCUUGUAACAGAUUCCCUCUUCUCGUUUCAAGUUCCUAUGGAAUUAUUGCAAGAGGCAUUCACUGUAUCAGAGACAAGGUCCUGAAUUAAACUCCUUCGGAACAAGCACAGUGAAUCCUUAUAAUGAAAAUUUGGGGACACUGGUGAGUAAGAUACUUUCAUGAGAGGAUUGCCCAUAUUAUCCGAUGCAUUUCUGACAGUUAAAGACAUUUUCAGAUUCUGUACCAUGCUAGGGUAGACAUUACAGCCUCCUUCUCAUUUCUCCUACUAAAACAAGAAAUGGAAUCAUUGGGGGAUGAAUGCCAUUCUUGAUAACAAUUCCUUAUAUUAUGCUUGAAGUAAAACAAUUCCAUCCAUUUCCAUUGCUCAAUCUUAUCCCUUAAAGUGAAACCCAUAGGACCUGGCUCUCUAUUAUGAAAUAUUCCCUUCAACAGAAUUUUUCAGGUCACAGAAGGCAGGACUAUC